RNAcentral lists this ribosomal RNA (253 nucleotides) under uncultured prokaryote. Its description in RNAcentral is "partial 16S ribosomal RNA". It matches the Rfam family "Bacterial small subunit ribosomal RNA", at positions 524 to 776 of the family's 1533-position model. The record is from RNAcentral.
CACGUAAGGGGCAAGCGUUGUCCGGAAUCACUGGGCGUAAAGGGAGCGCAGGUGGUAAGAAAAGUCAGAUGUGAAAGUUUGCGGCUCAACCGUAAAAUUGCAUUUGAAACUUUCUUACUAGAGUAUCGGAGAGGAAAGCGGAAUUCCUGGUGUAGCGGUGAAAUGCGCAGAUAUCAGGAAGAACACCAAUGGCGAAGGCAGCUUUCUGGAAGAUAACUGACACCGAGGCUCGAAAGCAUGGGGAGCAAACAGG